This 268-nucleotide small RNA is filed under the name Oryza sativa Japonica Group (Japanese rice). RNAcentral's name for it is "sRNA Os05g0163200". The record is from RNAcentral. Lineage: Eukaryota; Viridiplantae; Streptophyta; Magnoliopsida; Poales; Poaceae.
GACGAGGGCGAGGUCGCGGAAGGUGAUAGGGAGGACACCUUCACGUAGCCUGUCUGCUAUGAACUUCACGCCGUCUUGAGUAGAGAGAUCAAUAACCUGUGACUUGACGCGACCUGUAGUAGCAUAUGAUCAGUUUGUUUCGAGAGGUUGUAUUCCCUGAUGUAGUCUGCCCUUCAAAGAACUGGGUGUGACAUGAUAUGUACUAAAAUGACAUGCAGUUCUUGCAGCUGAGAUCACAGAGAGUAAAUGUAAGCAGAGAUCACAUCAC